This 443-nucleotide ribosomal RNA is filed under the name uncultured bacterium. RNAcentral's name for it is "partial 16S ribosomal RNA". It matches the Rfam family "Bacterial small subunit ribosomal RNA", at positions 338 to 795 of the family's 1533-position model. The record is from RNAcentral.
CCUACGGUGUGCAGCAGUGGGGGAUAUUGGACCAUGUGGGAAACCCUGAUCCAGCGACGCCGCGUGAGUGAAGCAGUAUUUCGGUAUGUAAAGCUCUAUCAGCAGGGACGAAAGACAUGACGGUCCCUGAGUAAUAAGCCCCGGCUAACUACGUGCCAGCAGCCGCGGUAAUACGUCGGGGGCAAGCGUUAUCCGGAAUUACUGGGUGUAAAGGGAGCGUAUACGUUAUUGCAAGUCUGGAGUGACAGGCGGGGGCCCAACCCCCGGACUGCUCUGGAAACUGUGUAACUGGAGUGCAGGAGAGGAAGGCGGAAUUACUAGUGGAGCGGUGAAAUGCGUAGAUAUUAGGAGGAACACCAGUGGCGAAGGCGGCCUGCUGGACUGUAACUGACGUUGAGGCUCGAAAGCGUGGGGAGCAAACAGGAUUAGAUACCCGGGUAGUC